This 403-nucleotide ribosomal RNA is filed under the name uncultured Dechloromonas sp. Its description in RNAcentral is "bacterial SSU rRNA". It matches the Rfam family "Bacterial small subunit ribosomal RNA", at positions 207 to 601 of the family's 1533-position model. Lineage: Bacteria; Pseudomonadati; Pseudomonadota; Betaproteobacteria; Rhodocyclales; Azonexaceae. The record is from RNAcentral.
CAAGACCUUGCGCUGAUUGAGCGGCCGAUAUCAGAUUAGCUAGUUGGUGAGGUAAAGGCUCACCAAGGCGACGAUCUGUAGCGGGUCUGAGAGGAUGAUCCGCCACACUGGAACUGAGACACGGUCCAGACUCCUACGGGAGGCAGCAGUGGGGAAUUUUGGACAAUGGGGGCAACCCUGAUCCAGCCAUGCCGCGUGAGUGAAGAAGGCCUUCGGGUUGUAAAGCUCUUUCGGCCGGGAAGAAAUCGUGUGGGCUAAUACCCUGCAUGGAUGACGGUACCGGAAUAAGAAGCACCGGCUAACUACGUGCCAGCAGCCGCGGUAAUACGUAGGGUGCGAGCGUUAAUCGGAAUUACUGGGCGUAAAGCGUGCGCAGGCGGUUUAGUAAGACAGGCGUGAAAUC